RNAcentral lists this long non-coding RNA (740 nucleotides) under Rattus norvegicus (Norway rat). RNAcentral describes it as "long non-coding RNA NONRATT019494". Lineage: Eukaryota; Metazoa; Chordata; Mammalia; Rodentia; Muridae. The record is from RNAcentral.
GGACACCCGAAACCACAUGCUGCUUGACUCCACAGCAGGGGGCCCCUUGACCAGGCUAGGAAGGCCAUCCUGAGCCUCAGCUCCUCUAGCUUCUGCCCAUUCCUUUCCUUUUAAAGAUUCAGAAAUGCUUGCUUGUGUUUCAUAUUUCCAAGCCUCCCAUUCUGUUUUACCCGUAGGUCAUCGCUGUAUUGCAGUUCAUAAUUUUGCUAUUACAUGUUCUGUGAAGUUAGCCUUAGAGAGCAGCACGUCUCUCCCACUUCUAAUGAUAUAAACUCCGGAUAUCAUGAGGAUGCGUCUACUGUCACAACAGUCAGGCAGCCAUCACACUCAGUUCUGAGUUGGUAGCCUUCCUAAUCAAUGGCAUGUUUUGUUUUCUCCUUUCAUAUGGGGCUGUUCUUUCCAGAGUGUCCUGCCAUUCUUUGUAGCUACAAAACUGGCAAAAAUACGGAAGCCGACUUUGGAUAAGCCCUCUGCAGAGACAUUUGUGAAGUCUGCAAUUAAAACAGUAGGUCUGCAGACCCGAACCACUGGAUAUGUGAUCCACGCCAUCAUGGGCUCAAUAAACUCAAUCUUGCCCCGUUGGAUUUAUUUUAAAACAAUCAUGGGUUUCAACAAGUCUUUGCGGAAUCGCUAUCUGAAGAAAACCAAGAAGAACUAAGUACUGCUGGGUCAUCGAGCUCCUUGGCCAGACGCUUGACCUGUGCUUGCAUACUGGGCCCCUGCCUGUCCCCAGAGUCUCU